Rosa chinensis is the source of this 235-nucleotide long non-coding RNA. RefSeq lists it as uncharacterized. Lineage: Eukaryota; Viridiplantae; Streptophyta; Magnoliopsida; Rosales; Rosaceae. The record is from RefSeq and is a predicted model, not a curated record. The transcript has 3 exons.
AGGGCUUUAAAUAAGUAUCCUCAUCGGAUGUCGCGUAAAGGAUAUGCUGGAUUGGAGGAAGAAUUGUCUGCAACAAUGGAAGAAUCUUCUCUUGAUCGUGCAACGAUGUGGAUCAAAGCACGUCAAGAUAAGAAUGGUAGUUUUAAAUAUCCUUCAAUAGAGGAGAAGGCACAAAAAAUUGCUGAUUUGAAGAAAAAAGAGGCUAAGGGAGAGUUAAGCACUUGUGGUGUAGUUG